This 440-nucleotide ribosomal RNA is filed under the name uncultured bacterium. RNAcentral describes it as "partial 16S ribosomal RNA". It matches the Rfam family "Bacterial small subunit ribosomal RNA", at positions 338 to 795 of the family's 1533-position model. The record is from RNAcentral.
CCUACGGGAGGCAGCAGUGGGGAAUAUUGCACAAUGGAGGAAACCCUGAUGCAGCGACGCCGCGUGAGCGAUGAAGGAUUUCGGUGUGUAAAGCUCUAUCAGCAGGGAAGUAAAUGACGGUACCUGACUAAGAAGCCCCGGCUAACUACGUGCCAGCAGCCGCGGUAAUACGUAGGGGGCAAGCGUUAUCCGGAUUUACUGGGUGUAAAGGGAGCGUAGACGGCGAUGCAAGCCAGAUGUGAAAGCCCGGGGCUCAACCCCCGGACUGCAUUUGGAACUGUAUGGCUGGAGUGUAGGAGAGGCAGGCGGAAUUCCUAGUGUAGCGGUGAAAUGCGUAGAUAUUAGGAGGAACACCAGUGGCGAAGGCGGCUUGCUGGACGAUGACUGACGUUGAGGCUCGAAAGCGUGGGGAGCAAACAGGAUUAGAUACCCGGGUAGUC